RNAcentral lists this ribosomal RNA (457 nucleotides) under Amanita pseudovalens var. pseudovalens. RNAcentral describes it as "partial large subunit ribosomal RNA". It matches the Rfam family "Eukaryotic large subunit ribosomal RNA", at positions 125 to 580 of the family's 3401-position model. The record is from RNAcentral. Lineage: Eukaryota; Fungi; Basidiomycota; Agaricomycetes; Agaricales; Amanitaceae.
GCAGCGUCUGGUUGUCCGAGUUGUAACCUAGAGAAGUGCAGCCUGUGCUGGACCAUGUAUAAGUCUCCUGGAAUGGAGUGUCACAGAGGGUGAGAAUCCCGUGUUCGACAUGGACUGCCAGUGCAUUGUGGUGUGCUCUCAAAGAGUCGAGUUGUUUGGGAAUGCAGCUCUAAACGGGUGGUAAAUUCCAUCUAAAGCUAAAUAUUGGCGAGAGACCGAUAGCGAACAAGUACCGUGAGGGAAAGAUGAAAAGAACUUUGGAAAGAGAGUUAAACAGUACGUGAAAUUGUUGAAAGGGAAACAUUUAAAGUCAGUUGUGUUAGCUGGGGAUCAACCUGGUUUAUUGCUUGGGUGUAUUUCCUGGUUGACAGGUCAACAUCAGUUCUGACCGGUAGAAAAAAGCUAAGGAAAUGUGGCACCUUUGGGUGUGUUAUAGUCCUUGGUUGUAUCUGGUGGU